Molecule: ribosomal RNA, 1372 nt
Filed under: uncultured bacterium
Lineage: Bacteria
Description: bacterial SSU rRNA
Rfam family: Bacterial small subunit ribosomal RNA
Source: RNAcentral
GAUGAACGCUGGCGGCGUGCCUAAUACAUGCAAGUCGAGCGAACGGACGAGAAGCUUGCUUCUCUGAUGUUAGCGGCGGACGGGUGAGUAACACGUGGAUAACCUACCUAUAAGACUGGGAUAACUUCGGGAAACCGGAGCUAAUACCGGAUAAUAUUUUGAACCGCAUGGUUCAAAAGUGAAAGACGGUCUUGCUGUCACUUAUAGAUGGAUCCGCGCUGCAUUAGCUAGUUGGUAAGGUAACGGCUUACCAAGGCAACGAUGCAUAGCCGACCUGAGAGGGUGAUCGGCCACACUGGAACUGAGACACGGUCCAGACUCCUACGGGAGGCAGCAGUAGGGAAUCUUCCGCAAUGGGCGAAAGCCUGACGGAGCAACGCCGCGUGAGUGAUGAAGGUCUUCGGAUCGUAAAACUCUGUUAUUAGGGAAGAACAUAUGUGUAAGUAACUGUGCACAUCUUGACGGUACCUAAUCAGAAAGCCACGGCUAACUACGUGCCAGCAGCCGCGGUAAUACGUAGGUGGCAAGCGUUAUCCGGAAUUAUAGGGCGUAAAGCGCGCGUAGGCGGUUUUUUAAGUCUGAUGUGAAAGCCCACGGCUCAACCGUGGAGGGUCAUUGGAAACUGGAAAACUUGAGUGCAGAAGAGGAAAGUGGGAUUCCAUGUGUAGCGGUGAAAUGCGCAGAGAUAUGGAGGAACACCAGUGGCGAAGGCGACUUUCUGGUCUGUAACUGACGCUGAUGCGCGAAAGCGUGGGGAUCAAACAGGAUUAGAUACCCUGGUAGUCCACGCCGUAAACGAUGAGUGCUAAGUGUUAGGGGGUUUCCGCCCCUUAGUGCUGCAGCUAACGCAUUAAGCACUCCGCCUGGGGAGUACGACCGCAAGGUUGAAACUCAAAGGAAUUGACGGGGACCCGCACAAGCGGUGGAGCAUGUGGUUUAAUUCGAAGCAACGCGAAGAACCUUACCAAAUCUUGACAUCCUUUGACAACUCUAGAGAUAGAGCCUUCCCCUUCGGGGGACAAAGUGACAGGUGGUGCAUGGUUGUCGUCAGCUCGUGUCGUGAGAUGUUGGGUUAAGUCCCGCAACGAGCGCAACCCUUAAGCUUAGUUGCCAUCAUUAAGUUGGGCACUCUAAGUUGACUGCCGGUGACAAACCGGAGGAAGGUGGGGAUGACGUCAAAUCAUCAUGCCCCUUAUGAUUUGGGCUACACACGUGCUGCAAUGGACAAUACAAAGGGCAGCGAAACCGCGAGGUCAAGCAAAUCCCAUAAAGUUGUUCUCAGCUCGGAUUGUAGUCUGCAACUCGACUACAUGAAGCUGGAAUCGCUAGUAAUCGUAGAUCAGCAUGCUACGGUGAAUACGUUCCCGGGUCU